AUGGCUUCUCCAGGGGGUGGUCAUGGGAACCAUGAUGAUAAUGGAUCAGAACCACCAACAGAUGUGCAAGAAACCGCAGCUAGCAAUGCGAAAGAUCGUAUUAAUGAAAGGGUACCAAAGAUUGGAAUGAAUUUUUUAUCUAAUGAAGAGGCUUAUUCCUUUUAUAACAAGUAUGCUGAAGUUAUGGGUUUCAGCAUCCGGGGAGGUAGUAAGCAUAAAGUUUACGAAUUUGAGGAGACACAUAACCACAUUCAUGCUACUGGAACCAUGGCCCAAUACUUGAGAUCUCACAGAAAAGUGACAGAUGCACAAAUAGCGGCUGCAGAGGUCGCAAAGUCUGUAGGCAUUUCUAAUAAAGCAACUAUUGAUCUUAUGGCCAAAGAAGCAUGUGGACAAGAAAACCUUGGUUUUAUCCCUCAAGACAUGAAAAAUCGGUUGUACUCAAAAAGAACAUUGCAAGCAGCGAAAGGUGAUACAGGGGGAGUGUUAGAAUAUAUGGAGAAGAAGGAUGAAGAAGAAUUUAUAAGUGCAUGGAAUGAUAUGCUUGAUAAGUAUGGACUACGUGAGAAUACAUGGCUCCAAAGGUUGUUCGAGAAAAGGGAGCAAUGGGCACUAGUGUAUGGUAGAAAUACAUUCUCUGCCCACAUGAGCACUACCCAACGAAGUGAAAGCAUGAACAAUGAACUGAAGCGUUACAUCAGUAUUAAAUAUGACAUGCUUACUUUUUUCGAGCAUUUCGAACGGCUUGUUGCAGAUAAAAGAUUUGAAGAAGUGAAGUGUGACUUCAAGGCAUCACAAACUACUCCCAAGAUGAAGGCGGAAUGUAGCUAUAUAUUAAGUCAAGCUGUAACUACAUAUACUCCAGCAAUAUUCAAGAUGUUUCAAGAGGAAGUGCUUCUGACCCUGAAUUAUGACACGUUCCUUCGUGAUGAUAGUGAUACAGACCAAAAGUUUUACACGGUAAAAUUUCAUGACACAAAACGUGAGCAUGUUGUUAGAUUUGCUCCAAAUGAAGAAAGGGUGAAUUGUAGUUGCAAGAAGUUUGAAUUUGCUGGAAUUUUGUUCCAUCAUUGCUUAAAGGUACUUGAUAUCAAUAAUAUCAAGCAUAUCCCUGAACAAUAUAUCUUGAAAAGGUGGACAAUAGACGCCAAAGUUCUCGAGAUAACAAGCAAUCGCAAUCUACAUGAGGAUCGAAAAGCAAAAAUGUCAAACUACUACAAGGAGUUGUGCAGAAUGUUUGUGAAAAUAGCUGCUCGUGCCUCUGAAUCGGACGAAACAUAUGAUAUGGUUGCUAAAUGCGCAGAGCAGCUAGCAGAAGCUGUGGAGAAACACUUGAAAAAUAGAACUGAUCCUGAUCCUGAUCCUGAUAUGGGAAAUUCCUCUGUUUCGCAAGGUCCGCUUAUCGACUCUAGUAGAGUUUCAAAACACAACGAGGGGCUUGCCAAGCCAAGAGGUAUCAAGGAGAAGGAGAAGACUACACGAGGAUCAGCAAGACCCAUUGGUGGAUUGGAGAAAGCAAUAACAAAGAAGAAAAAGAAGACAGAUGAUCCUGUACCAGUACAACCUCAAAGCACAUCAAUGGGGUAUUUGGAUUUUAUGCAAAAUCAAAUGGGUGCACUGCAAUUGCAGUACAAUCCAUUCUUAAAUGCUUCAAUGCAGCAAUCGCUUGGGUCAUUUGGAGUAUAUGACAAAUCAAAUGGUUGCACCGCAGAUGCAGUACAACCCAUUGCUAAGUGCCUCAAUGCAGUCAUCACAUGGAAAUACAUUCUCGAUGCCAAUGAACCAAAGAAUGGUGGCAGGAUUCCAACAAUACAAUACACUAAUGGGUCAUCAAACAACCACAUCUGCACCGAUUUCCAAGUGCACAACUCGGCAUUGCAGCAACAGAGCAUUGGACCCUCUGCCUCUACUUUAAUGACAGGACAAAAUCAAGUCAUCUUCCAUGAACCGAAGCCAACUUAA
RNAcentral lists this ribosomal RNA (1962 nucleotides) under Triticum aestivum (bread wheat). Its description in RNAcentral is "partial small subunit ribosomal RNA". The record is from RNAcentral. Lineage: Eukaryota; Viridiplantae; Streptophyta; Magnoliopsida; Poales; Poaceae.